RNAcentral lists this long non-coding RNA (1216 nucleotides) under Anser brachyrhynchus (Pink-footed goose). RNAcentral's name for it is "lncRNA (ENSABRG00000002421.1)". Lineage: Eukaryota; Metazoa; Chordata; Aves; Anseriformes; Anatidae. The record is from RNAcentral.
AAAACAUUCAUUGGCUUUCUUGAGUUGUGAUUUAAUAAUACCUGGGACCAAAAUAUAAUUGCUUACACAAGCUUUUCUUGCUAAGACUUUGACAUCAGAAUGAUGAUUACAGCAUGAUGGAUAGCUGAAGGAAACCUAAGCUUUGGGAUGUUGUUGAGAAGGGGUUGGUCUUGUUUGCCUGUUACUGAAGUAAAUUUCUUUGUUUUUAUUCUGCAAAAACAAUGAUCAGAGUAUAAAUUGUUCAAUCUGGAGGGACAUCUGCAAUCCUGUGAGGAGUCUUUCUAAACUCUCUCAAGACACUCUUUCACAGCUCAUCUAUAACCAACACCUUUUCUCAGGACAGACGCCUUGGAGUGAACUCAGCAGGGUCACGCUGAUGUAGACUUUGGAGCUGUUACCUACCUGACUGGGAAGAUGCUACUUCAAGUAAAUACUGUCCUCCCCAUACAAUGCAGAGGCAUCUAGGAGCAAUUUCCCAUCUGGAAAAAACCACUUACUCCUUGAAAGAUGGUGAAGAUGAAGGGAUAUGAGGGUGAAGCUUCUUCAGUUUUGGGUGACAGCUCACACUAAACAACUGCACUUCUUUUGAAAUCCAAGUGAAACAUUUAUUUGGUGGUCAAUAAUUUAUUUGAUCUUUGUUGCUUCCUUCCCCUCUGCUCUAUAAACUCAAACAGAGUCCCUUUCAUCUGGUGCUGAUGUACCCCAGACAAACUCAGCAUCACACGGUGGGAGGCAAAGUCCAAGACAGACGCUAAGUUUUAGAUGCAGAUCCCAUGUCCCCUUCCAGAGGGCAAUAGGACAGACCAAGUUUCCUCUCAGCUGCCUGCAUUGAUCAGCAAAGUGCAGGAAAGGUGGGAGCUCGGAGGAGAGGAGCAGUAGCUUCCCCGGCUAGUACCUCCCCAGCCCCGCACACGGCUGCACAGGAGCCAAGGGAAUUGAAGGCUUUCUGCCAGCUUUAGCAGGCUUUGUGGCAGGCCCUACAAAAAAACACCUCCUGGCAUCAGAUCCUAAUUGUCUUGGGGCUUAUUAGGCAAAUGCAUACCUGAAAGUACGAAAAANAAAAAAAGAAAUGUUUCUCUUCCUCCCUACUGUUUCUCUUCCCACUCUCAAAUUUCUGAACUUGAGAUAUGUUUUUUUUUUUUUACCUCGUAUUGUAAAUUAUGACUGACAAUGCCAUGUAAGAACACGAGGAAAAUAAAUUAAAAGGAAAAGAUCA